GGAUCAAUAUGUUGGUCGUGCCUUGGUACGUACUAGCUUAUUGAUUUCUCCCUUCUGACGAACCAUGAUGUCAUUAAUUUGGUGUCAUGGGGAAUUAGGACUGUUACUUUGAAAAGAUUAGAGUGUUUAAAGCAAGCUAACGCUUGAAUACAUUAGCAUGGAAUAAUGAAAUAGGACGUUCGAUCCUAUUUUGUUGGUUUCUAGGAUUGACGUA
This 214-nucleotide ribosomal RNA is filed under the name Campeiostachys nutans. RNAcentral describes it as "Elymus nutans partial small subunit ribosomal RNA". The stretch from base 38 to 214 matches the Rfam family "Eukaryotic small subunit ribosomal RNA", at positions 686 to 864 of the family's 1831-position model. The record is from RNAcentral. Lineage: Eukaryota; Viridiplantae; Streptophyta; Magnoliopsida; Poales; Poaceae.